GUACCAACUCUUGUCAAACUGAAUUUAAUCAGAAGGUUUUUAAGUCAGUCUGAUAGCAUCAUCAGGUGAAAACACGCCCACUGCAGACGAUCACGAAACCAUAGCUGACCAAACACAGUUGGACCCAGUGGAGGAUGUGAGUCUUGCCUCUGAGGAGGCAAACCCGGGCAAGCAUCUGCCAGGAGAGGAGGCUGCAGCCGUGAUUCUGGCCGUAGAGGGAAAGAUCGAUUCGGUCAGUAAAAGGGAGGAACCGGAGGGCACCGAGCCCCUGCCUGCAGGAGUGGAGGAGAGCUCUGAGCUGCCAUCUGCUUGGCGAGAGGAGAGCAAUGGGCCUUCACCUCCAGCACCAGGAGAAGAUGAGCCUUCACCUCCAGCACCAGGAGAAGAUGCUGGGUCACCAUCACCAGGACCAGCAGAGGACAGUGGGCUGGUAGAGGGCAGUGACAGCUCUGUAGUGGAAAUCAUCAAGAAAGUACAUAUUACUGAAGAGGACCACCUCAUUGAGGGUGAGACGGGAGAACAGGUGGAAACUGAGCUGCUGAGUGAGAUAGUAAGUGGAGGGCCUGAAACAAAAGAAGAAGAAACAGGAGAAGCUGUGGAUGGUGCAGCAGCGACAGAGAUAGAGACAGCUAAUAACAAGGAAUAG
Molecule: long non-coding RNA, 646 nt
Filed under: Calidris pygmaea (Spoon-billed sandpiper)
Lineage: Eukaryota; Metazoa; Chordata; Aves; Charadriiformes; Scolopacidae
Description: lncRNA (ENSCPGG00000013873.1)
Source: RNAcentral